GCUGACUGUCCUUCAGCAAGAGAGACAUUCAAUUGAAUUGUCAUCUUGAUUUUUCACUCUAGAUCAUAAGACAAAUAAGUGAAUGAGAGUGCCUGCUCUGAUACCACUUGUUGCCCAGAGAUAUAACCCAAGAGAGAAGGUGAAUUGGGUUUUAAAAUUUUCUUACAAGUUAAAAACUCCUAUGUCCGCUACUUAUACUAAAAAUUAAAUACAGUGAAAGCAGUAAAUAUAUCGAUAAACAAUUUAAAUUAUGAUGC
This 257-nucleotide long non-coding RNA is filed under the name Elaeis guineensis (African oil palm). Its description in RNAcentral is "long non-coding RNA (EGUI_LNC039714)". The record is from RNAcentral. Lineage: Eukaryota; Viridiplantae; Streptophyta; Magnoliopsida; Arecales; Arecaceae.